Molecule: ribosomal RNA, 505 nt
Filed under: uncultured bacterium
Lineage: Bacteria
Description: bacterial SSU rRNA
Rfam family: Bacterial small subunit ribosomal RNA
Source: RNAcentral
AGAGUUUGAUCAUGGCUCAGGACGAACGCUGGCGGCGCGCCUAACACAUGCAAGUCGAGCGAGAACCGGGCCUUCGGGCCCGGGGACAGCGGCGAACGGGUGAGUAACACGUGGGUGACCUGCCCCUCACUUUGGGAUAAGCCUGGGAAACUGGGUCUAAUACCGGAUAUGACUCGCGGUUGCAUGAUUGCGGGUGGAAAGUUUUUUCGGUGGGGGAUGGGCCCGCGGCCUAUCAGCUUGUUGGUGGGGUGAUGGCCUACCAAGGCUUCGACGGGUAGCCGGCCUGAGAGGGCGUCCGGCCACACUGGGACUGAGACACGGCCCAGACUCCUACGGGAGGCAGCAGUGGGGAAUAUUGCGCAAUGGGCGGAAGCCUGACGCAGCGACGCCGCGUGGGGGAUGACGGCCUUCGGGUUGUAAACCUCUUUCGACCUCGACGAAGAGUGAUUGACGGUAGGGGUGGAAGAAGCACCGGCCAACUACGUGCCAGCAGCCGCGGUAAUUC